Molecule: ribosomal RNA, 1368 nt
Filed under: Triticum aestivum (bread wheat)
Lineage: Eukaryota; Viridiplantae; Streptophyta; Magnoliopsida; Poales; Poaceae
Description: partial small subunit ribosomal RNA
Source: RNAcentral
AUGAGGGCGGCGGCGCGGCCCAAGAUCGGCGACAGGGCGACGAGCGACGUGGUGGUGCGGCUGCGGACGCCGGACUCGGGCCGGGACGAGUGGCUCUACUGCCACUCCGGCGUGCUCGCCGCCGGGAGCGCCUACUUCGCCGACCGCCUCUCCGACGCCUGGCCGACGUGCCAGAUCCUCGACUCGCGCUACUGCGUCGAGGUCCACUGCCGCGACGCCGACCUCAGCUCCCACGUCACCGCGCUCCGCCUCCUCUACGCCGCCGACCCCGUCUCCCGCUUCGGCGUCCGCGGCGCGCUCGCCCUGCUCGACGCCGCCGCGCACCUCGCCUGCGCCCGCACCGCCGCCGCCUGCGCCGACUACCUCGAGUCCGCCCCCUGGGACGAGGCCGACGAGGAGGAGAUCCUCGCCGCCGCCCCGCGCCUCGGCGCCCACCGCGCCCGCGUCCUCGCGCGCCUCCGCCCCGCCGAUCCGGGCCCCGCCACCGCCAUCUUCCUCUCCGCGUUCCGCCACGCGACGGCCGCCUCGCGGGAGCUCAAGUCCGCCGCCCAGGAGCAGCUGGAGUACAUGCUCACCGAGGACGACGACGCGCCGCUGCUCACCUUCGGCGCCGGCAGCGACGCCGUCAAGUCUCAGGUGAAGGGAUGCGUCACGGGCCUACUGAACAGGUUCAGCGAUUUCACGGGCUCCGCACUGACGAAACAGACGGAGGCCCCUUGCUCCGGCGAGCUUCAGCAGGAUCUGCACUCCUUCGUCUCCGACAUCGCCUGGGUCUGCCAGGUCCUGGGCAAGCUGGAGAUGAUGAAAUUCCUCGCAGCCUACUGGGUGGAAGCGUCGUCCGCCGUCGUCGCAGCCGUGGAGGCGGCGGCGGCGGCGGAGUGCCACCCGGGGCCUGAAUGUCUGAAGACCAGGCUGAAGGUCGUGGAGAUAUCCGCAAAGGUGCUGGAGGCCGUCGCGUUCGGCAACGUCGUCCUCCCGGCGGAGAAGCGGCGCCACGCCGUGAGCGUCUGGAUCGGCUUCGCCGGGGCAACGAGGCAUCUGGUGGACGAAGCUGACCGCGGCAACGACGACGGUGACGGUAAUAAUGGUGAUGGAGACACUGAAGCCGAAGCUGCAUCAGCAGCAGCAGCAGCAGCAGCAGCAAAGGUCGGCCUGGACGGCGAGGUGUGGCAGGGGCUGGAGUCGGCGAUCACCUCGAUCGUGACGACGCUGCCGUCGAACGCCCAGGCCGAGGUGCUGUCGGAGUGGCUUCAGUCGAAGCACGCCGCGUUCCCGGACCUGUCGGAGGCGUUCGACGCCUGGUGCUACAGGUCCAAGGUCGCGCGGAGGAGGCUGUCUUUCCUGAACAGCGCCAACCCGGCGUCCUGA